GCUUCACAGUGACAAUAAUUACAGCCAAAUGAAAACUUUAUAUUAAUUUAGAGUUUAGUAUCAAUAAACAUCCAUCAUGCAGAUUAUGUUAAAAAAACACAUUUUAGGAAAAACAUCUUUAUUUAGAAAACAUCAUUUAUGAAACAGCAACACAAAACAUUUGAUACAAAAUUAAAGGAGAAACAUUAAAGUAACAAAAACAUUUAAUAGAAAUAAACAAAUGUUCAAAUAUAUUAAAAUAUACAUUUAAAUCUUUCAGGGGUCAAAGUUCAGGCUGGAUCUCUGCCUGGGAUCAUUUAUGGUCUGAACAAAUCGACACACCAGACCAACACCAUGUUGUUGGUCUCAUCCUGCAGCCGGUUCUAAAGAUGGAACCGGUUCUACAGAUGGAACCGGUUCUACAGACGGAAUCAGUUCUACAGACGGAACUGGUUCUACAGAUGGAACCGGGUUUCGGGUCGAUCUUCCUGUUCCUGUAGAGAAGAACCGGAUCCGACUCCAGAUCAGUUCUGCUGAAACAGAUCCAUUCUCUGCUCCACAUGACAGACUGAUGAUCUGAUCUGCAGGAGAGGAAACAACAGGACACAGAGGUCAAAGACUUGCUGCUAGCUUAACAGAGUUUCACAUCCUGGCUGCACCUUACGUUGCUUAUGUCAGUGCUGCCUUCAAUGAGUGUGGGAGAUGUCGGUAUCAGAGACCCGACUGGACCAGUUCUGAUCAGUGUGGAGGAACAGAGACACAUCUUAAAGUCAGAGGAUUCUGGACUUCAAUGAAUGCAGGUUCAGUUUGAGAUUAAUGGACCAGAACACAGAGGAGGAGUCCGGCUGCAUCCUGCUGCAGGUUUAUUGAUGGAUUAUUGAUCCUCUGGUUGAUCAGACAUGAUGUCUUUAACUCACUGAUGGUUGAUGGUGAAAACAUGAAGGACUCUUAAAGCUGCAGCUGGAGCUCAGAGGAAACCAACUGGAUCUAAACCAGUCAAAUCCUCCAGUCUGAUCCAGGCAGAGUCACUGGGAGAACUGGAGUCCAGACCCACUGGGACUGGUCAGAUGUCCUUCAUCACAGAUCAUCAUCAUCAUCAUCAUCACAGAUGUUCUGUCUGGUUCUGAUCCAUCUUAUGUUUUAUUAUUUCGUUUUUUCUAACAUGUUUUAUGCUAACUUAGCAUCGCUGCUAACCAUUAGCCUUCCUGUUAGCAGGAGCUUCAGAUGAAGCUUGAAACGAGGCCACAUGAUCAAUGACAUCACUUCCUGUCCAAACCUGCUGCCGUCUCUUCUGCUGAACUGCUGGCAUUGUUUCAAAAAUUCACAUUUUGGAAAAUAUUUUUAACAAUAAGUAAAAACACAAAGUGAAUUUUUAUUUUUUAUGUUUAUUUUUUCUUGAUAUAAACAGAAAUAAACAGCUGCUCUGCUGUUUGGGUUGGUUCCGACUCAAUGAAUAUGAAAAUAUUUUAACUUCUAAUCAAUUAUUAUUAUGAUUCACUUUUGCAUAAAUGUUGAUUUUCUGCCAUUUUAUUUUCUAUUUUCCAUUUUUAAAUCAAAUAUUUUCAUAAAAAUCUUGAUGCCAUUCAGAAACUUUAGCAGAGGAAACGCCAAAGCUGAGCUGCAUAGGAACACAUCAUAUCUGACCUUUGACCUUUGACACGUCCUUUAGUUCCUCCCACCAUUAAACUAUUUAACAUUUAGAUUGUUACUGAAACCUGGACUGUUGCUGACAUCUUGCUCUGCUGUUUAUCUGAAGCUGUUUGGAUGAUUUUCACUGCAAGUCAAAAUAUAAUUUAGUUAAAUUUAGUUAAAAGUCAGAAAAGAUUCUUAGAUAAUCCAGAGUAGAUUAAAGAAAAGUCAUAACUUUAAUGUUUUCCUCCAUCAUGAAGAUGUUUCUGGUUUUUCUCCAACAAACUGGUGAAACCAGAAACUGAACAUCUGGACUCAGAUUAAAGUCAUAAAGACGAAUAAAAUGACUUCAUGCUGUUUGGACUGGAUUUUAUUCAGGAAUAUCAGAGGAAAAUGAAGAUACA
Molecule: long non-coding RNA, 2012 nt
Organism: Xiphophorus maculatus (southern platyfish)
Lineage: Eukaryota; Metazoa; Chordata; Actinopteri; Cyprinodontiformes; Poeciliidae
Exons: 4
Source: RefSeq, a predicted model, not a curated record